Molecule: small nuclear RNA, 104 nt
Filed under: Prolemur simus (greater bamboo lemur)
Lineage: Eukaryota; Metazoa; Chordata; Mammalia; Primates; Lemuridae
Source: RNAcentral
GCGCUCGCUUCGGCAGCACAUAUGCUAAAAUUGGAACGAUAUAGAGAUUAGCAUGGCCCCUGCAUGAGGAUGACACGCAAAUUCGUGAAGCGUACCAUAUUUUU